CUGGUCACUACAUGUGAAAUGAAGAUAGGAAUCAGAAUACAAAUAUCAGUUUUCUUAUUCUGGAUGACUUAACAUUAAGUAGUAGAUCUUUCCCUUUAUUUUUUUUACACUUUUUUCAAUCACAGUAAGAGGUUGCAACAUAACUGCAUCUUUCAGAAUAUUAAGGAACAUCAGUUACCUAUUCAAUACUGGCAUUCAACACACAUUCACAGUCCUGGAUUACAGCUGAAUGCCAGCGGUACCAAUAAUUAAGGCUGUGUCUGGAUUGUACCUUCAAGCAGACAUAAUGUUAAACUGCCAUACAGGUGAUACCUUGCAGGGAAAAAUCUACAAAAGUGUCUUUAAAAAUAAAUGUAAUCUAAUCUAAUAUUAUAAAAACACUAAAAUGCCUUGAUCGCAAUGUGGAGGUUUCUUACCUGUAACUAGAGGUUCUGAAAGAUCUGUGGUCCCUAUGUCUAUUCCACAAAUGGCAUGCAUAUACUCUAAGCAUCUGAGAUCAGAUAUUUCCAGCAGAUAGUGUCCAUUGGUCCACGCCUGUACUCCACUCAUGCUCUGUACUGAGAUUAGAAAGGACAGUGCGGAACAAAACUUCUUCAGUUCCUUCUCUUUACUGCAAAUCCAGUCAUGAUCCAAAAUAGAGGAGAACAGCAGCAGACAGUUGCAUAGAGAUAGGGACAUAUCUUGAAGAAUCUUCAGAUACAUGUAAAUAACAUGCCUUUCUUCUUUGUGUGGCAGUCUCCACGUGUAUGACUGGUAAGUAGUAUUCAAGGUGGGAGUGAGAGGAUGCAGGAAAUAUAGAUGUCUAACACUGCUGUCUGAAUAGCUGAAUCUGAAGAAGAGUCCGAGACUAAGGCAUAAUCCUUUGUGAAGGCAUCGAUGGAAUUCUAGGUUGUCACCUAACAAAGUACUAGUACUGGUACUUUUCAAAGACAUAUUAUUGAUUUGCAUGUGCUCUAGAAGAGUAAGCCGUCCCACACAGCAAUGGAAGAUGCUACAACUGGUAACAGUGAUAUAACUGGGGCUCCACUUAGAAAAAUCUCUGAGCAGAUCGCAUCUGUCGCUGUGAGUUCUCUCAUAACUAUUUUUGCUGUAAGGUGCUUCCCUGUUUCUUUACAGAUCAAACACUAGAGCCUGUCUGAUGUCAAGAGAAUUAAGUCUUUUAAUUGGAAGCAUGAGGUCUGUGAAGAAAACCAGUCAUCAAUCGGAGGAGAACAGGAGGACGAGAACACCACUUUAUCUGGGGAAGACAAGGAUUGCUGGAAAGAAGACUGGCUGUCUGAGUCUGACUGAGCUGAGGAGAGCACUGCUGGAAGCUCUGUCUUCUGGUGAGGAUGGUAGAAAAGGAACUGAGGGAGACGCACGCCGCAUGUGCAGCUAACGGAUGAAAACAGCUCAAGAUGGCUGUGGUGUGGGAAGGCACUGCUAGGUUAAAAAAAUCUCUGAUCGCUGGCACAAGAACCACUGACACUUGAGUGGAGCAUCCACAGAGACACCACUUGAAAGAGAACUCUUUAAGGAUAAAAGUGUGCUAUUUCCAUAUACAACAAAAUAUGUUAAUUAAAACUGAUUUAGUUAUUUCAGUAAAACUUGUAUAUGAACUAGCCCAAAUCUUGACCUUACCAAAUUUGUGUUCCUUACAAUUUAUGGUAGCUUCUAGAUGAAUUCAGAAUGUUAGCAGAUUUCUUUUACUUUUAGAUUUUAAUAUCAUUAUUUUAUGACUAAAAAAAUUAUUUGAGACAAUCAAAGUGAAAAAAAUGAAUAGCUAAAAAAGGGCAUGUGUAUGAAGAGAAGAGAGGCAAAAAUUCAAUUCUUAGGAAUCACUAAACUCAUCACAAAAACCGGAUAGCUAAGUACAGCAAUAGCUUUCUUAACCCUGCAUUAAAAUAAAACUAAAGCCCCCACAAAAAUGUAAUUCAAUAUAAUGCCUACAUUUUAAAUGUGGA
Molecule: long non-coding RNA, 1943 nt
Organism: Pelodiscus sinensis (Chinese soft-shelled turtle)
Lineage: Eukaryota; Metazoa; Chordata; Testudines; Trionychidae
Source: RefSeq, a predicted model, not a curated record